CCCUUAGAUGUUCUGGGCCGCACGCGCGCUACACUGAUGCAUUCAACGAGCCUAUCCUUGACCGACAGGUCCGGGUAAUCUUUGAAUCUGCAUCGUGACGGGGAUAGAUUAUUGCAAUUAUUAAUCUUCAACGAGGAAUGCCUAGUAGGCGCAAGUCAUCAGCUUGCGUCGAUUACGUCCCUGCCCUUUGUACACACCGCCCGUCGCUCCUACCGAUUGAAUGGUCCGGUGAAGCCUCGAGAUUGUGGCCAGCUCGCUUUAUUGGGAGUUGGUUGCGAGAACUUGUCUAAACCUUAUCAUUUAGAGGAAGGUGAAGUCGUAACA
This 324-nucleotide ribosomal RNA is filed under the name uncultured eukaryote. RNAcentral describes it as "partial 18S ribosomal RNA". It matches the Rfam family "Eukaryotic small subunit ribosomal RNA", at positions 1470 to 1796 of the family's 1831-position model. The record is from RNAcentral.